CCCUACGGGACGCAGCAGUGAGGAAUAUUGGUCAAUGGGCGCGAGCCUGAACCAGCCAAGUCGCGUGAGGGAAGACGGUCCUAUGGAUUGUAAACCUCUUUUGUCGGGGAGCAAAAGACGCCACGUGUGGCGUUCCGAGAGUACCCGAAGAAAAAGCAUCGGCUAACUCCGUGCCAGCAGCCGCGGUAAUACGGAGGAUGCGAGCGUUAUCCGGAUUUAUUGGGUUUAAAGGGUGCGUAGGCGGGCUGUUAAGUCAGCGGUCAAAUGUCGGGGCUCAACCCCGGCCUGCCGUUGAAACUGGCGGC
This 305-nucleotide ribosomal RNA is filed under the name uncultured bacterium. RNAcentral describes it as "bacterial SSU rRNA". It matches the Rfam family "Bacterial small subunit ribosomal RNA", at positions 337 to 640 of the family's 1533-position model. The record is from RNAcentral.